UCUCAGGUGUGUAAGAAAAGAGGUUGCUUAGACUGGCCAGGUUGGCAGGCGGGAAGCAGGGAAUGGCUGGGUCGGGAGAACGUGGGCAGCAUAUGCCAGCCCAUGAACAAGAACUGGCUACCAAAGUGUUACAGAUACAAUCCAAACGAUUUUACUUGGAUGUUAAACAGAACAGAAGAGGGAGAUUCAUUAAAGUUGCUGAGGUUGGACCAGCUGGUAAAAAAAGUCGUCUAUUGUUAGCAAUGUCAUCAUCUUUAGAAUUACGAGACCAUCUUACAACUUUCAGUGAACUAUAUGCUUCACUGGGCCCACCUAAUCCAGAUAGCAUACCAGAAGAUGGUAAGUUAAAGAGUGAAGUAAUGGUAAAAGAAAAUAAACGGUAUUAUCUUGACCUGAAGGAAAACUCUAGAGGAAGGUUUUUGCGAAUUUCACAAACUACAGUGAGGGGAGGUCCUCGUUCGCAAGUUGCUAUACCAGCACAAGGGAUGAUAGAAUUUCGUGAUGCACUCACUGAUCUUCUGGAAGAAUUUGGCACCGAAGAUGAUACAGGAUAUGGAUUUAAACGGGAUUUACCUGAAGCUCAACACCUGCGUAUAGAAAACAAACAUUUUUACUUUGAUGUAGGCCAGAACAGCAGGGGAAUCUACAUGCGCAUAUCUGAGAAGAAUGUCCAAACAUCAUGUCUACUCUAGUCUCAGUUGCAAGUAUGCAGUUAGAAGGUGUGAUGUUUGCAUAAAAUGCAAAUCUUAACAUUGUGGAUGCAUCCGUUAUGGGCUUGUUAAAACCAAAGUACUCGGAAAGAGAAUCCAAUCAAAAACGGACAAGAAAACUAUAAAGAAAAGGAAUAUUGAUUUUACUUCCAGGUGAAAGGAAAUUUUAGGACUGCAAUAACCAUUCCAGAGAAAUCCUGGGGUAAUUUUCGAG
RNAcentral lists this unclassified non-coding RNA (924 nucleotides) under Limulus polyphemus (Atlantic horseshoe crab). RNAcentral describes it as "transcriptional activator protein Pur-beta-A-like, transcript variant X1". Lineage: Eukaryota; Metazoa; Arthropoda; Merostomata; Xiphosura; Limulidae. The record is from RNAcentral.